This 1307-nucleotide ribosomal RNA is filed under the name uncultured bacterium. RNAcentral's name for it is "bacterial SSU rRNA". It matches the Rfam family "Bacterial small subunit ribosomal RNA", at positions 28 to 1381 of the family's 1533-position model. The record is from RNAcentral.
AACGUACGCUGGCGGCACGCCUAACACAUGCAAGUCGAACGAAGUAGCAAUACUUAGUGGCAGACGGGUGAGUAACAUGUAGGUAUCUGCCCUUUGGCCUGGAAUAACACGAGGAAACUUGUGCUAAUACCGGAUAAGUCUUUACGGAGAAAGCUUUAUGCACCAUUGGAUGAGCCUGCACUUGAUUAGUUUGUUGGUGGGGUAAUGGCCUACCAAGACUGUGAUCAAUAGCUGAUUUGAGAGGAUGAUCAGCCACAUUGGGACUGAGACACGGCCCAAACUCCUACGGGAGGCAGCAGUGGGGAAUCUUGCACAAUGGAGGAAACUCUGAUGCAGCGAUGCCGCGUGAGUGAAGAAGGCCCUUGGGUUGUAAAGCUCUUUCGUCGGGGAAGAAAAUGACUGUACCCGAAUAAGAAGGUCCGGCUAACUUCGUGCCAGCAGCCGCGGUAAUACGAAGGGACCUAGCGUAGUUCGGAAUUACUGGGCUUAAAGAGUUCGUAGGUGGUUGAAAAAGUUAGUGGUGAAAUCCCAGAGCUUAACUCUGGAACUGCCAUUAAAACUUUUCAGCUAGAGUAUGAUAGAGGAAAGCAGAAUUUCUAGUGUAGAGGUGAAAUUCGUAGAUAUUAGAAAGAAUACCAAUUGCGAAGGCAGCUUUCUGGAUCAUUACUGACACUGAGGAACGAAAGCAUGGGUAGCGAAGAGGAUUAGAUACCCUCGUAGUCCAUGCCGUAAACGAUGUGUGUUAGACGUUGGAAAUUUAUUUUCAGUGUCGCAGGGAAACCGAUAAACACACCGCCUGGGGAGUACGACCGCAAGGUUAAAACUCAAAUGAAUUGACGGGGACCCGCACAAGUAGUGGAGCAUGUGGUUUAAUUCGAAGAUACGCGCAGAACCUUACCAACACUUGACAUGUUCGUCGCGACUCUAAGAGAUUGGAGUUUUCGGUUCGGCCGGACGAAACACAGGUGCUGCAUGGCUGUCGUCAGCUCGUGUCGUGAGAUGUUGGGUUAAGUCCCGCAACGAGCGCAACCCUCACUUUUAGUUGCCAUCAUUAAGUUGGGCACUCUGAAAGAACUGCCAGUGAUAAGCUGGAGGAAGGUGGGGAUGACGUCAAGUCCUCAUGGCCCUUACGUGUUGGGCUACACACGUGCUACAAUGGUAUCUACAACAGGAAGCAAGACUGCGAAGUUAAGCAAAUCCCUAAAAGAUACCUCAGUUCGGAUUGCACUCUGCAACUCGAGUGCAUGAAGCUGGAAUUACUAGUAAUCGUGGAUCAGCGUGCCACGGUGGAAUGCGUUCCCGGGUCU